Ailuropoda melanoleuca (giant panda) is the source of this 392-nucleotide long non-coding RNA. RefSeq lists it as uncharacterized. The record is from RefSeq and is a predicted model, not a curated record. Lineage: Eukaryota; Metazoa; Chordata; Mammalia; Carnivora; Ursidae. The transcript has 3 exons.
UGCUACAUCCUAAGCCUCAGUUCAUGCAAUGAUUUGCCGGAGAAUUCUUAUCACGGCCCGCUCAUUUUAUCUCUAUACCGAUAAAAUCUGAAGGAACAGACUGAUUCAAAAUGGGAAGAAAUCUACAGAACCCUAAAGAUGUUUAGAUUAUGUAAUUAAAUACAGAAUUCCUGAAUAGUGCUACUGGAUCUCCAAUCUUGUGAGGUUUGUAUCAUCAUUUUGCAAAGAAGUAAACUGACACUUAAGAAACCGAAGCAACUUGUCAAUGACCUUAAGGCCAGUAGCAGACCCAAGGUUUUAACCAGAGCUAAUAAGACACAUAGCUCCGAGUAAAUUCUCAACAGGAUGUCAUAGAGAAAACGGUACCAGAGAAAGAGAGAAGCAGCAGAGGG